This 254-nucleotide ribosomal RNA is filed under the name uncultured bacterium. Its description in RNAcentral is "partial 16S ribosomal RNA". It matches the Rfam family "Bacterial small subunit ribosomal RNA", at positions 524 to 776 of the family's 1533-position model. The record is from RNAcentral.
UACGAGGGGAGCUAGCGUUAUUCGGAAUUACUGGGCGUAAAGCGCACGUAGGCGGCUUUGUAAGUAAGGGGUGAAAGCCCAGAGCUCAACUCUGGAAUUGCCUUUUAGACUGCAUCGCUUGAAUCCAGGAGAGGUGAGUGGAAUUCCGAGUGUAGAGGUGAAAUGCGCAGAUAUCGGGGAAGAACACCCGUGGCGAAGGCGGCUCUCUGGGACGGUACUGACGCUGAGACGCGAAAGCGUGGGGAGCGAACAGG